Long non-coding RNA from Mandrillus leucophaeus (drill), 2727 nucleotides. RefSeq lists it as uncharacterized. Lineage: Eukaryota; Metazoa; Chordata; Mammalia; Primates; Cercopithecidae. The transcript is spliced from 4 exons. The record is from RefSeq and is a predicted model, not a curated record.
GAUGCUGUUCUCUUUGGGCUGUCUUAAUUACACAGGGGUUGAGAAACCAAAUUAAAAUUAGGCGUGUCUGGUCAACAGUGAUCACGUUGCAUGCUUUUAGCUUUGCUUGUUGAAGUUGCUUCUCCUCCCUGAGUGGCUUUCCUCCUAUUUUUUUUUUUUUUUAAAAGGAAAUAUCAUAAGCUCUUUCAGAAAUACUCACAGGAAGUGAGUGUCCGUAUGCUGGUUACUCACCAGCAACUGAGUGUUGGCAGGUGGAGAAUGCUACCGCAGCCCGCCCAGACGGAUCUGCAGACUGGCCCCAUUGCAGAGGAUUAGACACAGGGUGCGUGGAUCAUAGGGUUUUUGUACAGAAGGCAGUUUUAAGAGGAAAUUGGUCACUGCAUGUCAUCUCGAGGGGUGGUGAUUCAGGGAGCAGGGCUGGGGGUCAGAAGGCACGUGGCUGCCAUCUCGGAGGUUCCUGCUCACUUCUCAGAGGGCAGGCUGGCUUCUAAAAAUCAAUGCUCCCUCCACCCCCAAACAGCGAUUCUUCUGCAGUGAAUCACUUCCAGAAAUGAAUAGCCACAGUUUUUUGGAAUGAACGUUGUGAAAUCCCUCCUUUAUAAUGGCAGGUUUUCAGUUGGUGGUUUUAUCAGAAUUUCUCAAGAUCAAAACGAAACCUUCUCUUUAAAAAGGAAAGAAAGUACUAUCGAUACAGAAAGCAAAAGUAUUUCCAGUCUCCUACUGAACUGUCACGGCAGACCUCUCUGUAUCUAUAUUUAGAGAUGUAUGUCCAUAUAUUUGCCUGAAUGUGUGAGUUCUUGGAAGUAUGGAUUCGUUGCCAGGAGCUGGUGAUUUCCUAUGCAGAGGUCGCUCACUACAAGAAAUGUUACACUCGGACAAGUCCUGCGCUUGGGAUCCUUUGUACAACCAUUCACAGGUGCAAGUCUUCCGAACAAAUGCCUCCUGAGGAUUUGUGUGCCUGGAAAAUAUCUGUGAACAGAUUGCUUUUACACCUACUUAUUUGGUGCUACUUCUACUCCUCAGGACCAAAGCUGGCUUUCAUGGUUUACUCAUGUACUUACUGAUGAAACCCUGAAACUUGGAGCCAGUGACUGUUCAGAGGUCCCUAUGAAGAUGCGCUGAAGGGUGUAAAGGACGGAGCAGUAAAGAGUGCUGGCUGAAUCCCUGGGCUGGGAAUCAGGCAUGUUGGAGUUUGAGUCCUGGUCUGCCACUCCAGCUCUGUGACCAAGAGGAAGUCAUGUACCCUUUCUAAGUCUCUAGCCCAUCUUCUGAAAGACGAAGAUGCUACCACCAACCAUGUUAGUGGUUGUGAAUGCCAACAAAGUCCAUGGGAAGCACACAGCAGUGGCUGCCGUGGACUGAGUGUUCCCAAGAUGGAAGCUAUGACAAUUUCACAGAGUCCUCUUCCCAUCAUUUUCCAGUUCAUUUUGGCCUUUUCCCUCGAAAUCACUCCCGUGUUCUGAUCCAGCUGAUGAGACACCAAACAUUCAUAUAGUGCUUUAAAAGUGACCCACUGUUUUUAUAAACGCAUUACAUAUGACCCUAACAACCACUGCAAUAUAGAAAUUCGCAUCUCCAUUCUCCAGAUCAGGAAACUGAAACUCGGAAAAAUUAAAUGAUUUGCCCAGGAUCACAUAGCUAGUAAGCAGCCCAGCCAGAUCCUGUGUUAACUUGUUCAUCCACUUCCUAUAAGAAAACAUCCAUUCAAGGCAUGUGGGGCAACAAAGAAAGACUUAGAGUUGUGUGGCCCCUCGUCAGGACAGGGCCAGCUGCACCUAUAGUCCGGCUGGAAUAGGCGACUUAGGACUAUUGUGUCCCAUGUCCCAAACACUUUGAAGCCACAUCUUAAAGAAGUGUCCUGCUCAGAUGCAGUUCUCCUUGUGAAAUCCGCAGGCCCCAAGGGAAGUGACUUUAAUCCAGUUUGCUCAUGCAAGAACAGACUGGCAUUUCACAUCCAGGAAAACAAUGGAUUUGUACUGUUCAGCUUUUGCCAUGCAAGGAGUUCCUGGUGUCAUUUAUCAAUUUACAUCUCAGGCUCCAGCUUCACUAUCAGAUUUGGAAGAAAAAAGUUACAAAGAAAGGCAGCUUGCUGAGAAACAGCAGAAGCAUGACAGUACAGACUGGGUUUUGAAAUGGAGACACAUUCUCAUGGCUUGUGGGCUGAGAGACACCGAGAAAGGAUUUUGUUCUUGAAAGAUGAUUGUUUUAAUGCUGGAGAUGGAGAGUUUUGACAAUUUUAAGUGCAUGUUCUGUGUGUAAGAGUCAUUACAUUUUUUUUUUUUCUUUCAGAUGUUGCCAUGCCUUAAAAUUGCUGAUGAUUAAAAUAGAACAUCCUGAGUUACAGAAAUUCAGCCCUACCGUAUCCUGGCCUAAAAAUACAGAACAAUCACAUUGAUUGUUGGAAAUGAGAGGCUAGGGAGGGUUGGAAACAUGCUAAUGUUUACUGAGUGAAAUCUUUCCUUCUCAGUAGAGUUGCCCUUGCAGCUGAAAGUCACUGAAAGACUCAACAAAAUCAGCGGAUCCCACUUGCUCUCACUCUGUUCUCGUUUGCAUGACCUGGAAAGGGAAUGAAUGAGCCCUUUUAAAUUUAUCAACUGGUUUUCUUCCAUCUCCUUCCUAGUGAGCCACGGGGUUUUUUGCUGUUAACCGGGUAGCCAGUCUCUUCAUGCAGACUUGUUUACAGGAAACUAGCCUCUUGCUUCAUGUGAAAACAGGGACCCAACUCAA